This 254-nucleotide ribosomal RNA is filed under the name uncultured bacterium. RNAcentral describes it as "partial 16S ribosomal RNA". It matches the Rfam family "Bacterial small subunit ribosomal RNA", at positions 524 to 776 of the family's 1533-position model. The record is from RNAcentral.
UACGGAGGGUGCGAGCGUUGUCCGGAAUCAUUGGGCGUAAAGGGCGCGUAGGUGGCCCGGUCAGUCUUUGGUGAAAGCGCGGGGCUCAACCCUGCGUCGGCCAGGGAUACUGCCGCGGCUCGAGCACUGUAGAGGCAGGCGGAAUUCCGGGUGUAGCGGUGGAAUGCGUAGAGAUCCAGAAGAACACCGGUGGCGAAGGCGGCCUGCUGGGCAGUUGCUGACACUGAGGCGCGACAGCGUGGGGAGCAAACAGG